Molecule: ribosomal RNA, 191 nt
Filed under: uncultured bacterium
Lineage: Bacteria
Description: partial 16S ribosomal RNA
Rfam family: Bacterial small subunit ribosomal RNA
Source: RNAcentral
CUCGACUGCGUGAAGGUGGAGUCGCUAGUAAUCGCGGAUCAGCAACGCCGCGGUGAAUGCGUUCCCGGGCCUUGUACACACCGCCCGUCAAGUCAUGAAAGUGGGCAGCACCCGAAGACGGUGGCCUAACCCUUGUGGGGGAGCCGUCUAAGGUGAGGCUCGUGAUUGGGACUAAGUCGUAACAAGGUACC